Molecule: ribosomal RNA, 423 nt
Filed under: Verrucomicrobiota bacterium
Lineage: Bacteria; Pseudomonadati; Verrucomicrobiota
Description: Verrucomicrobia bacterium partial 16S ribosomal RNA
Rfam family: Bacterial small subunit ribosomal RNA
Source: RNAcentral
UGAGGAAUAUUGGUCAAUGGGCGAGAGCCUGAACCAGCCAAGUAGCGUGCAGGAUGACGGCCCUAUGGGUUGUAAACUUCUUUUAUAUGGGAAUAAAGUGAGGGACGUGUCCCUUAUUGCAUGUACCAUCCGAAUAAGGACCGGCUAAUUCCGUGCCAGCAGCCGCGGUAAUACGGAAGGUCCAGGCGUUAUCCGGAUUUAUUGGGUUUAAAGGGAGCGUAGGCCGUUUGGUAAGCGUGUUGUAAAAUGUAGGGGCUAAACUUCUAGAUGGCAGCGCGACUUGUAAGGUGUGGGUGGGAACAAGGAAGGCGGAAUUCAUGGUUUAGCAGUAAAAGGCUUAGAUAUCAUGAAGAACUCCAAUGGGAAAGGCAGCUACGGGAGCGCAACUGACGCUGAAGCUCGAAGGUGCGGGUAUCGAACAGG